RNAcentral lists this long non-coding RNA (1267 nucleotides) under Parus major (Great Tit). RNAcentral describes it as "lncRNA (ENSPMJG00000002172.1)". Lineage: Eukaryota; Metazoa; Chordata; Aves; Passeriformes; Paridae. The record is from RNAcentral.
GCACAGGUGACACUGCCCUGGCACAGGUGACACCGCCCUGGCACAGGGGACACACCUGGCACAGGUGACACACCUGGCACAGGGGACACACCUGGCACAGGGGACACCGCCCUGGACUCUGCCCCGGGCGGGGCUCGGGACACCCCAGACCCUGGGUGGUGGCACUUUGGGGACACCCCAGACCCCGGGUGGUGGCACUUUGGGGACACCCCAGACCCCGGGUGGUGGCACUUUGGGGACAGGGGGUGCCCAUCCAUGAGAAGCCGAGGAGCUGUGGGUACAAAGGAGUUUAUUGGGGACAUCAGGGGACACCGGGGGGACAUCAGGGGACACCGGGGGGGUUCUACAGCCCGGAGAAAGGGACACUGGGGAUGGCACUGCGGUGACAUCAGAGCUCAGGCCAGGGCACGGCGGUGACACCGAGGUGACACCUGUGGCUCUGAGGUGACACUGGUGACACUGUGGUGACACCGAGGUGGCACUGAGGUGACAGCUGUGGCUCUGCGGUGACACUGAGGUGACACCGGUGACACUGAGGUGACAUCAGAGCUCAGGCCAGGGCACGGCGGUGACACCGAGGUGACACCUGUGGCUCUGAGGUGACACCUGUGGCACUGAGGUGACACUGGUGGCACUGUGGUGACACCGAGGUGACACCGGUGACACUGAGGUGACACUGGGGUGACACCUGUGGCUCUGAGGUGGCACUGAGGUGACACCUGUGGCUCUGCGGUGACACUGAGGUGACACCGGUGGCACUGCGGUGACAUCAGAGCUCAGGCCAGGGCAGGGCGGUGACACCGAGGUGACACCGGUGACACUGCGGUGACACUGGUGACACUGUGGUGACACCGAGGUGACACCAGUGGCACUGUGGUGACACUGGGGUGACACCAGUGGCACUGUGGUGACACCGAGGUGACACCGGUGGCACUGUGGUGACACUGAGGUGACACCGGUGGCACUGUGGUGACACCGGGGUGACACCGGUGGCACUGUGGUGACACUGGGGUGACACCGGUGGCACUGUGGUGACACCGAGGUGACACCGGUGGCACUGUGGUGACACUGAGGUGACACCUGUGGCUCUGAGGUGACACCCAGGUGACACCGGUGGCUCUGAGGUGACACUGAGGUGGCACUGGUGACGUCAGCGGUGACGUCAGAGCUUGGCGAAGGGCACGGCCUCGGGGCCUUUCUUGUCCAGCGCCGCCUGCACCGACUUGGGGAUGUCCUCGGUCUGCAGCAUGGCCAUGUUCCAGGUGGC